This is a non-coding RNA of Podarcis lilfordi (Lilford's wall lizard), 77 nucleotides long. The record is from the annotation of a GenBank genome assembly. Lineage: Eukaryota; Metazoa; Chordata; Lepidosauria; Squamata; Lacertidae.
GCUAGGAUAGCUCAGGUGGUUAGAAUGUGGUGCUGAUAAUGCCAAGGUUGCAUGUUCGAUUCCAGUAUGGGGCAGCU